UCUUCAUUCUCCAUGCUCUCUCGUCGGUCAGUGCACCGAGAUAGUAUGCGAAAUGGAGAGA
This 61-nucleotide microRNA precursor is filed under the name Pristionchus pacificus. RNAcentral describes it as "mir-8364 microRNA precursor family". It matches the Rfam family "mir-8364 microRNA precursor family". Lineage: Eukaryota; Metazoa; Nematoda; Chromadorea; Rhabditida; Neodiplogasteridae. The record is from Rfam by way of RNAcentral.